CCAGCCCAGGGGUGAAGCCAAGCCAAACCUGGCACGCACGCCCCCCUCCCCCACCCUCUCCAGACAUAGGCUUUAGGAGAGGGUGUGUGAUCCAGAUCUGGCUGACUUGAAUGUUGGCCUGGGAGGUGAUGUUUGGAGCUGUGGCAGACUUCUUGCUACCCUGAGGCAGUACACUAAUGACAAAAAGCCAACAGCCAAGUAUGGUAAAGAGGAGCUAGUAAAAGACCCUGGGUCUUUGCUGAUGUCUCUGAGCAUCUGACCAAGCUGCAACCAUCUUCCUCCAGCCAGCAGAUUAUGUGGGGACAUCUCAUGUCUCAGUUGUUUGGGUGACUGUUUUUCAGUUUUCUGAUACCUGCUGCCCAACCACCUUAACCAAUGGAGGUGCCUCCUCUGUGCCCCAUGCGCACCUGCUGGAGCCCCCGCCACACAGGGUCAUCACCUGCCACCCCUUCAGACCUGAGAACUCCAGAAGUAAGGGUGGUGUCUUGGAGGUCUUUGUAGCUCCCAAGUGUCACAUGGGUCAUGAGGCACAGCGAUUACCAUAGCAUAAAUAAUAUGAAGGAAGGGAAGAAGGAAAGAACAGUUAAUAAAUAAAUGAUCAUAGUGAAGGUGGAGUUGCUUUGCAAACUGUGAAGUGCUGGGCCCCAAUGCCAGUGAGGUGCUGGCCUGCGGAUGCCUGUGGGGGAUGGGAAGCUGCAGAGUGGAGAACCAAGAUCAGAGAAGAUUCCUCAGGGGGAAUGACACCGUGUCUUCCUCCCAGACACCCCCUGCCUCUCCACCCUGCUGUGCAGACCACAAAUACCAGGUUUCCCAGGGACGCUGGAUUAAAGGAUCAUUUUAAAUGAAUUCUGCCAUCAGGGUAAGAGAUCUGCUCCACCCCCCAAGAUGCCUUCCGCUGACAGCUGGCUUCAGGAGAUCUGACAGAAUUCAUUUUUCCAAGCAGACAAGAGGGAUCUCGGUAUUAAACAAAACACCU
Long non-coding RNA from Lontra canadensis (Northern American river otter), 976 nucleotides. RefSeq lists it as uncharacterized. The transcript has 3 exons. Lineage: Eukaryota; Metazoa; Chordata; Mammalia; Carnivora; Mustelidae. The record is from RefSeq and is a predicted model, not a curated record.